This 328-nucleotide ribosomal RNA is filed under the name uncultured eukaryote. Its description in RNAcentral is "partial 18S ribosomal RNA". It matches the Rfam family "Eukaryotic small subunit ribosomal RNA", at positions 1470 to 1796 of the family's 1831-position model. The record is from RNAcentral.
CCCUUAGAUGUUCUGGGCCGCACGCGCGCUACACUGACUACUUCAACGAGUUGUUUCCUUGAUCGAAAGGUCUGGGUAAUCUUUGAAAGGUAGUCGUGAUGGGGAUAGAUCCUUGCAAUUUUUGAUCUUCAACGAGGAAUUCCUAGUAAACGCAAGUCAUCAGCUUGCAUUGAUUACAUCCCUGCCCUUUGUACACACCGCCCGUCGCACCUACCGAUUGAAUGGUCCGGUGAAUCUUUAGGACUGUGGCUGAGGCCUUGCCUUGUGCGGGUCUGGCCGUGGGAAUUUAGUUAAACCUUACCAUUUAGAGGAAGGUGAAGUCGUAACA